Molecule: ribosomal RNA, 468 nt
Filed under: uncultured bacterium
Lineage: Bacteria
Description: partial 16S ribosomal RNA
Rfam family: Bacterial small subunit ribosomal RNA
Source: RNAcentral
GACGAACGCUGGCGGCGUGCUUAACACAUGCAAGUCGAACGGAAAGGCCCUGCUUUUGUGGGGUGCUCGAGUGGCGAACGGGUGAGUAACACGUGAGUAACCUGCCCUUGACUUUGGGAUAACUUCAGGAAACUGGGGCUAAUACCGGAUAGGAGCUCCUGCUGCAGGGUGGGGGUGGGAAAGUUUCGGCGGUUGGGGCUGGACUCGCGGCUUAUCAGCUUGUUGGUUGGGUAGUGGCUUGCCAAGGCUUGGACGGGUAGCCGGCCUGAGAGGGUGACCGGCCACCUUGGGACUGAGAUACGGCCCAGACUCCUACGGGAGGCAGCAGUGGGGAAUAUUGCACAGUGGGCGGAAGCCUGAUGCAGCAACGCCGCGUGCGGGAUGACGGCCUUCGGGUUGUAAACCGCUUUCGCCUGUGACGAAGCGUGAGUGACGGUAAUGGGUAAAGAAGCACCGGCUAACUACGUG